Molecule: ribosomal RNA, 470 nt
Filed under: uncultured bacterium
Lineage: Bacteria
Description: SSU rRNA
Rfam family: Bacterial small subunit ribosomal RNA
Source: RNAcentral
AGGAUAAACGCUGGCGGCGUGCCUAAUCAAUGCGAGUCGAACGGGCACCUUCGGGUGUCAGUGGCGUCCGGGUGAGUAACGCGUAGCUAACCUGCCCACAGGUGGGGGAUACCCGCCAGAAAUGGCGGCUAAUACCGCAUAGCGUGACGAGGGGGUGACCUUCGGCACGAAAGCCGCAAGGUGUCUGUGGAGGGGGCUGCGUCCGAUUAGCUGGUCGGUGGGGUAACGGCCUACCGAGGCGACGAUCGGUAGCUGGUCUGAGAGGAUGGUCAGCCACACUGGGACUGAGACAUGGUCCAGAGCUCUACGGGGUUUAGCAUGAAGGGGAUAUUGCGCAAUGGGCGAAAGCCUGACGCAGCAACGCCGCGUGUGGGACGACGCCUCUCGGGGUGUAAACCACUUUUCCCAGGGAAGAAGGAUGUGACGGUACCUGGGGAAGAAGCCUUGGCUAAGUACGCGCCAGCAGCCGC